CUACGUAGGGGGCGAGCGUUGUCCGGAAUGAUUGGGCGUAAAGGGCGCGUAGGCGGCCCGGUAAGUCUGGAGUGAAAGUCCUGCUUUUAAGGUGGGAAUUGCUUUGGAUACUGUCGGGCUUGAGUGCAGGAGAGGUAAGUGGAAUUCCCAGUGUAGCGGUGAAAUGCGUAGAGAUUGGGAGGAACACCAGUGGCGAAGGCGACUUACUGGACUGUAACUGACGCUGAGGCGCGAAAGUGUGGGGAGCAAUCAGGAUUAGAUACCCUGGUAGUCCACACUGUAAACGAUGAAUGCUAGGUGUAGGGGGUAUCGACCCCUUCUGUGCCGCAGUUAACACAAUAAGCAUUCCGCCUGGGGAGUACGGCCGCAAGGUUGAAACUCAAAUGAAUUGACGGGG
This 397-nucleotide ribosomal RNA is filed under the name uncultured bacterium. Its description in RNAcentral is "partial 16S ribosomal RNA". It matches the Rfam family "Bacterial small subunit ribosomal RNA", at positions 523 to 918 of the family's 1533-position model. The record is from RNAcentral.